GCCGCUGUGAUGGAAUUGGCAGACAUAGCAGACUUAAAAUCUGCCGGGCUUUGCCCAUACCGGUUCGAGUCCGGUCAGCGGCA
RNAcentral lists this transfer RNA (83 nucleotides) under Clostridiales bacterium. Its description in RNAcentral is "tRNA-Leu". It matches the Rfam family "tRNA". Rfam says of the family: Transfer RNA (tRNA) molecules are approximately 80 nucleotides in length. Their secondary structure includes four short double-helical elements and three loops (D, anti-codon, and T loops). The record is from RNAcentral. Lineage: Bacteria; Bacillati; Bacillota; Clostridia; Eubacteriales.